RNAcentral lists this ribosomal RNA (511 nucleotides) under Dolichopus polleti. Its description in RNAcentral is "partial 16S ribosomal RNA". It matches the Rfam family "Bacterial large subunit ribosomal RNA", at positions 1819 to 2597 of the family's 2925-position model. The record is from RNAcentral. Lineage: Eukaryota; Metazoa; Arthropoda; Insecta; Diptera; Dolichopodidae.
GUCUUUUUGAGUUUAAUUUAAAGUCUGAUCUGCCCACUGAUAAGUAUUUAAGGGCCGCAGUAUUCUGACUGUGCAAAGGUAGCAUAAUCAUUAGUCUUUUAAUUGAGGGCUUGUAUGAAUGAUUGGACGAGAUAUAAGCUGUCUCAUAAAAAUUUAAGUAGAAUUUUAUUUUUUAGUCAAAAAGCUAAAAUAAAUUUAAAAGACGAGAAGACCCUAUAGAUCUUUAUAAUUUAUUUUUAAAUUUUUUUUGGUUAUUUUUUAAAUUUAUAAAUUAAAUUAUUUUGUUGGGGUGACAAUGAAAUUUAAUGAACUUUCAUUAUUUUAAAAACAUUAAUUUAUGAAUAAUUGAUCCACUAUUAGUGAUUAAAAAUUUAAGUUACCUUAGGGAUAACAGCGUAAUUAUUUUGGAGAGUUCUUAUCGAUAAAAUAGUUUGCGACCUCGAUGUUGGAUUAAGAUUAAUUCUGGGUGUAGCAGUUCAGUUUAUUAAGUCUGUUCGACUUUUAAUUUCUU